This 279-nucleotide small RNA is filed under the name bovine gut metagenome. Its description in RNAcentral is "5' ureB small RNA". It matches the Rfam family "5' ureB small RNA". The record is from RNAcentral.
GGCCGAGAGGUAAUGCACGUGCAGGUCGAUGCCGCCGGCGGUGAGGAUGCAGCCCUCGCCGGAGAUUGCCUCCGUGGAGGCACCAACCACGAAGUCCACGUUGUCCAUGAGGUCGGGGUUGCCGCCCUUGCCGAUGCCAGCGAUCUUGCCGUCGCGGAUGCCCACGUCCGCCUUGUAGAUGCCGGUGUAGUCAAUGAUGACCGCGCCGGAGAUGAUCAUGUCCACGACCUGCGGGUUCUCGGAGCGCAGCUCCGUGGCGCUCACGCCCAUGCCGUCGCG